Molecule: ribosomal RNA, 372 nt
Filed under: uncultured organism
Description: partial 16S ribosomal RNA
Rfam family: Bacterial small subunit ribosomal RNA
Source: RNAcentral
GGAGAGUGCAAGCGUUGUUCGGAAUUACUGGGCUUAAAGAGCAUGUAGGCGGGGAUCUCAAGUGUCGGGUGAAAACCCCAGGCUCAACCUGGGAACUGCCCGGCAAACUGAGAUUCUUGAGGCAGGUAGAGGUGACCGGAACAACUGGUGGAGCGGUGAAAUGCGUAGAUAUCAGUUGGAACGCCGGCGGCGAAAGCGGGUCACUGGACCUGUCCUGACGCUGAGAUGCGAAAGCGUGGGUAGCGAACGGGAUUAGAUACCCCGGUAGUCCACGCCGUAAACGAUGCGCACUAGGUAUGGGAGGUUUUGACGCCGACCGUGCCGAAGCAAAAGUGGUAAGUGCGCCGCCUGGGGAGUACGGCCGCAAGGCUA